GAAGGAGGUCUGAAGGAGGGAAAAACAAUGAAGAAAUUCUUAAUAUACUCUUUAUACGAAAAUGAUGACUUCAAGGACUCAGGAACCAACAUUGCUAAAGGCUAGGAGACAUUCUUUCGUAUGUGUAAAGGAGUGACUGGUUUCCUUCGCGUUCUGGACCAGCAGCAGUCUCCUGAACUAUUUUCUCCAAGGUCCUUGUAAAGAGAAGCAGGAGUCUUUGUUCCCCCUUUCUCAGCAGAGGGAGGCACAGUGCUCUCACUCUGUAAUAAUGCUGAUUGAUUGCCACACUAUUAUGGAUCCCAGCUCACCAGGAACCCAUGAGAAACUUCUCUUCGUACAACUACACCGACUUCUCAAAAAAGGUCUCAACCCAGUGGGAUUUUUAAGCCUACACAAUUUUGGACCUACGUGCAUGUUCAAGUAACAGCAAAACCCGUGGAACUUGUGUUCACAAACUGUUUAUUCUAGUGGGUUUUGUACUUGGUGACCACCAUCCAGAAACAAAGAGAGAAGAGCACUCUGAAAAUUGGAGAUUUAAGGGUUUGAAAAGUGUACCAGUAGGUGUUAAUCUGCAAAAAUACGUGUGGGAGAAAAGGACAGUGAAAUUAAGCCACCUAUUAAUACUGUACUUUAAAGGGCAAUAGGUAUCUUUAUCGUUAAAAUAAACUGAGAAAUCCUGCCUA
This 683-nucleotide long non-coding RNA is filed under the name Anas platyrhynchos (mallard). RNAcentral describes it as "lncRNA (ENSAPLG00020013791.1)". The record is from RNAcentral. Lineage: Eukaryota; Metazoa; Chordata; Aves; Anseriformes; Anatidae.